UACGUAGGGUGCGAGCGCUAAUCGGAAUUACUGGGCGUAAAGCGUGCGCAGGCGGUUUUGUAAGCCAGAUGUGAAAGCCCCGGGCUUAACCUGGGAAUGGCAUUUGGGACUGCAAGGCUGGAGUUUGGCAGAGGAGACUGGAAUUCCUGGUGUAGCAGUGAAAUGCGUAGAUAUCAGGAGGAAUACCGAUGGCGAAGGCAGGUCUCUGGGCUAUAACUGACGCUCAUGCACGAAAGCGUGGGGAGCAAACAGG
This 253-nucleotide ribosomal RNA is filed under the name uncultured bacterium. RNAcentral's name for it is "partial 16S ribosomal RNA". It matches the Rfam family "Bacterial small subunit ribosomal RNA", at positions 524 to 776 of the family's 1533-position model. The record is from RNAcentral.